RNAcentral lists this ribosomal RNA (253 nucleotides) under uncultured bacterium. RNAcentral's name for it is "partial 16S ribosomal RNA". It matches the Rfam family "Bacterial small subunit ribosomal RNA", at positions 524 to 776 of the family's 1533-position model. The record is from RNAcentral.
UACGAAGGGGGCUAGCGUUGUUCGGAUUCACUGGGCGUAAAGGGUGCGUAGGUGGUGAGGUAAGUCGGAUGUGAAAGCUCCAAGCUCAACUUGGAAAUGGCAUUGGAAACUACCUUGCUAGAGGGUUUGAGGGGGGACUGGAAUACUUGGUGUAGCAGUGAAAUGCGUAGAUAUCAAGUGGAACACCAGUGGCGAAGGCGAGUCCCUGGAAAACUCCUGACACUGAGGCACGAAAGCUAGGGGAGCAAACAGG